Molecule: long non-coding RNA, 1459 nt
Filed under: Anser cygnoides (Swan goose)
Lineage: Eukaryota; Metazoa; Chordata; Aves; Anseriformes; Anatidae
Description: lncRNA (ENSACDG00005007371.1)
Source: RNAcentral
CCGGGGGCGGGGAGAGGGGCGGGGCUUUCCGCCGAAAGGGGGCGGGGCGCGCGGAGGAGGCGGGGCGAGCGCAGGGGAGGCUGGCGAGCAGAGAGUGCCCUUGUGUCGCCAGCCGGCGAGCGGCUGGGAGCGAGCAGCCGCCCCGCGCCGCCAGCGGGACGGGACGGGACAGCACGGCACGGGACAGCACGGCGCGGGGCGGGACAGGCCGGGCCGCAGGGACAGCCGGACCGACCCGCCGGUAGGGGCGAGGGGAGCCAGCGGGGGCAGCCGGCACCGCUCGGUGGAGGGAAGCAGCCCGGCGGCGGCAGAGCCGGCGGGGAGAGCUGCUCCCCCCACUUCCCUCCCCAAUCCACCCCCGCGACCCCGGCCCUCCUCCUCCUCCUCCUCCUCACCCCACUGGAUACAGCGAGGGAGACACUGCGGCGGCGGAGGCGGCGGCGGCGGCUCCUGCGGGGGGAAGGAAGCGCCCGGAGAGCGGAGCGGCGGGAGGCUGCGGAUCUGCGUGCCUGGCGCCCACCCAGCCCGAGGGGAGCCCCCAGGAUGCGGCUCAAGCCCGGCGCGCUCCUGCGCUUCUACAGCCUCUGCGGGAUCCUCAUGCAAGAUGGAGUGGCAGCAGAAGGUGGAUCGACUGCCUUAGGGGAGCAGUGAAAGUAAGAAGAGGAGCCACAGGGAAGAUGGAAGAAUGAGAAAAACUAUGGUGCUUGCAGGAGAGGAAAAGAGAAGACAUGAGGAAGAGGAUGUGGCAGCAACAAUGGACAUGAGCAAGCUGGAAAAGAAUCUGCAGCAGCGUCUGAUAAGGAGAUGAGGGUCUGUGAAAUACAGACAAGCAGGAGGACGGAGCAGUGGCCGUGGGCUUUGUUAAAGAAGGUGGAAGGUGCCAAUCAAACUGUGUUCUUAGAGCUACUUGUCCUAUUUGGGCGAUGUAUCUUUAUACUAUUAGAAUCAACAACAUAAAAAUGGUUCAAACAAGAACAUAUACACAGGAAUCAUACAAUGAUGUAGUGUUUGUUUUUUGUAUUAGUGCAGCAACAUAACCAGGUAACCCUAGCACUGCUGGAAGUUUAAUCUGUGAGCUUGGAGUUCAGGACACAGCUGGAGUGCUAUUGACCUGUGUACGUCUUGCCACUUGGGAACAAAAUAAUCUUACUGUCUCUGCGAAAACUAUCAUUUUUAAGACAUCUGAAGUUGUCUCCUGUGCUAUCUAGAACAAUUUACAUCUGCCAACAUUUGCAGGCUCGAUGAUGUCAUAGAAUUUGUUCUACAUACUCAGUAACUUUUUGAAAUAUUUUGUAGCAACAGCAAAUGCUAAAAUAGUUUAAUGUGCAUGUAUAAACAUGAUUUUUUAUUUAACCAAAGAUUACAUUAUAACAUGCUGCUCUUCCGUUAUGUCAGAAUGUGUUUCUUAGAUGCAAUGUACUACAAAAAAUACAAAAAAUAAAAGCAAACUACAUGUACA